AAGUCGUAACAAGGUCUCCGUAGGUGAACCUGCGGAAGGAUCAUUACUAAGUGACCGGGCCGGUAUAAACACCUCCCAUACUCACAACCCCUGGUUACCCGACCUCUGUUGCCUCCGCGGGCCUGUGGACCCAGCCUGCUGCCGGCUUCGGCCGGCUAGCGCCCGCCAGAGGACACAUCAAACUCUAGCGCAACUGUGCAGUCUGAGUAAACCUAAUUAAUAAAUUAAAACUUUCAACAACGGAUCUCUUGGUUCUGGCAUCGAUGAAGAACGCAGCGAAAUGCGAUAAGUAAUGUGAAUUGCAGAAUUCAGUGAAUCAUCGAAUCUUUGAACGCACAUUGCGCCCCCUGGUAUUCCGGAGGGCACACCUGUUCGAGCGUCAUUACAACACUCAAGCCCCGCUUGGUAUUGGGCAACGCCCUCCGCGCGCGCGCCUCAAACCCACCGGCGGCGCCGUCCGUCCCCUAAGCGCAGCGAAAACUAUUCCCUAAAGCGUGCUCGGAAAGCCACGCCGCAAAACAAACCCAUCCCGAAAACCAACCUCGGAUCAGGUAGGGAUACCCGCCAAACUUAACCAUAUCAAUAAGCGGAGGA
RNAcentral lists this ribosomal RNA (594 nucleotides) under Cladosporium cladosporioides. RNAcentral describes it as "eukaryotic LSU rRNA". The stretch from base 229 to 382 matches the Rfam family "5.8S ribosomal RNA". Lineage: Eukaryota; Fungi; Ascomycota; Dothideomycetes; Cladosporiales; Cladosporiaceae. The record is from RNAcentral.